UUAAGCGACUAAGCGUACACGGUGGAUGCCCUGGCAGUCAGAGGCGAUGAAGGACGUGCUAAUCUGCGAUAAGCGUCGGUAAGGUGAUAUGAACCGUUAUAACCGGCGAUUUCCGAAUGGGGAAACCCAGUGUGUUUCGACACACUAUCAUUAACUGAAUCCAUAGGUUAAUGAGGCGAACCGGGGGAACUGAAACAUCUAAGUACCCCGAGGAAAAGAAAUCAACCGAGAUUCCCCCAGUAGCGGCGAGCGAACGGGGAGCAGCCCAGAGCCUGAAUCAGUGUGUGUGUUAGUGGAAGCGUCUGGAAAGGCGCGCGAUACAGGGUGACAGCCCCGUACACAAAAAUGCACAUAUUGUGAGCUCGAUGAGUAGGGCGGGACACGUGGUAUCCUGUCUGAAUAUGGGGGGACCAUCCUCCAAGGCUAAAUACUCCUGACUGACCGAUAGUGAACCAGUACCGUGAGGGAAAGGCGAAAAGAACCCCGGCGAGGGGAGUGAAAAAGAACCUGAAACCGUGUACGUACAAGCAGUGGGAGCCUCUUUUAUGGGGUGACUGCGUACCUUUUGUAUAAUGGGUCAGCGACUUAUAUUCUGUAGCAAGGUUAACCGAAUAGGGGAGCCGAAGGGAAACCGAGUCUUAACUGGGCGUUAAGUUGCAGGGUAUAGACCCGAAACCCGGUGAUCUAGCCAUGGGCAGGUUGAAGGUUGGGUAACACUAACUGGAGGACCGAACCGACUAAUGUUGAAAAAUUAGCGGAUGACUUGUGGCUGGGGGUGAAAGGCCAAUCAAACCGGGAGAUAGCUGGUUCUCCCCGAAAGCUAUUUAGGUAGCGCCUCGUGAACUCAUCUCCGGGGGUAGAGCACUGUUUCGGCAAGGGGGUCAUCCCGACUUACCAACCCGAUGCAAACUGCGAAUACCGGAGAAUGUUAUCACGGGAGACACACGGCGGGUGCUAACGUCCGUCGUGAAGAGGGAAACAACCCAGACCGCCAGCUAAGGUCCCAAAGUCAUGGUUAAGUGGGAAACGAUGUGGGAAGGCCCAGACAGCCAGGAUGUUGGCUUAGAAGCAGCCAUCAUUUAAAGAAAGCGUAAUAGCUCACUGGUCGAGUCGGCCUGCGCGGAAGAUGUAACGGGGCUAAACCAUGCACCGAAGCUGCGGCAGCGACGCUGAUGCGUUGUUGGGUAGGGGAGCGUUCUGUAAGCCUGUGAAGGUGUGCUGUGAGGCAUGCUGGAGGUAUCAGAAGUGCGAAUGCUGACAUAAGUAACGAUAAAGCGGGUGAAAAGCCCGCUCGCCGGAAGACCAAGGGUUCCUGUCCAACGUUAAUCGGGGCAGGGUGAGUCGACCCCUAAGGCGAGGCCGAAAGGCGUAGUCGAUGGGAAACAGGUUAAUAUUCCUGUACUUGGUGUUACUGCGAAGGGGGGACGGAGAAGGCUAUGUUGGCCGGGCGACGGUUGUCCCGGUUUAAGCGUGUAGGCUGGUUUUCCAGGCAAAUCCGGAAAAUCAAGGCUGAGGCGUGAUGACGAGGCACUACGGUGCUGAAGCAACAAAUGCCCUGCUUCCAGGAAAAGCCUCUAAGCAUCAGGUAACAUCAAAUCGUACCCCAAACCGACACAGGUGGUCAGGUAGAGAAUACCAAGGCGCUUGAGAGAACUCGGGUGAAGGAACUAGGCAAAAUGGUGCCGUAACUUCGGGAGAAGGCACGCUGAUAUGUAGGUGAAGCGACUUGCUCGUGGAGCUGAAAUCAGUCGAAGAUACCAGCUGGCUGCAACUGUUUAUUAAAAACACAGCACUGUGCAAACACGAAAGUGGACGUAUACGGUGUGACGCCUGCCCGGUGCCGGAAGGUUAAUUGAUGGGGUCAGCGCAAGCGAAGCUCUUGAUCGAAGCCCCGGUAAACGGCGGCCGUAACUAUAACGGUCCUAAGGUAGCGAAAUUCCUUGUCGGGUAAGUUCCGACCUGCACGAAUGGCGUAAUGAUGGCCAGGCUGUCUCCACCCGAGACUCAGUGAAAUUGAACUCGCUGUGAAGAUGCAGUGUACCCGCGGCAAGACGGAAAGACCCCGUGAACCUUUACUAUAGCUUGACACUGAACAUUGAGCCUUGAUGUGUAGGAUAGGUGGGAGGCUUAGAAGUGUGGACGCCAGUCUGCAUGGAGCCGACCUUGAAAUACCACCCUUUAAUGUUUGAUGUUCUAACGUUGACCCGUAAUCCGGGUUGCGGACAGUGUCUGGUGGGUAGUUUGACUGGGGCGGUCUCCUCCUAAAGAGUAACGGAGGAGCACGAAGGUUGGCUAAUCCUGGUCGGACAUCAGGAGGUUAGUGCAAUGGCAUAAGCCAGCUUGACUGCGAGCGUGACGGCGCGAGCAGGUGCGAAAGCAGGUCAUAGUGAUCCGGUGGUUCUGAAUGGAAGGGCCAUCGCUCAACGGAUAAAAGGUACUCCGGGGAUAACAGGCUGAUACCGCCCAAGAGUUCAUAUCGACGGCGGUGUUUGGCACCUCGAUGUCGGCUCAUCACAUCCUGGGGCUGAAGUAGGUCCCAAGGGUAUGGCUGUUCGCCAUUUAAAGUGGUACGCGAGCUGGGUUUAGAACGUCGUGAGACAGUUCGGUCCCUAUCUGCCGUGGGCGCUGGAGAACUGAGGGGGGCUGCUCCUAGUACGAGAGGACCGGAGUGGACGCAUCACUGGUGUUCGGGUUGUCAUGCCAAUGGCACUGCCCGGUAGCUAAAUGCGGAAGAGAUAAGUGCUGAAAGCAUCUAAGCACGAAACUUGCCCCGAGAUGAGUUCUCCCUGACCCUUUAAGGGUCCUGAAGGAACGUUGAAGACGACGACGUUGAUAGGCCGGGUGUGUAAGCGCAGCGAUGCGUUGAGCUAACCGGUACUAAUGAACCGUGAGGCUUAACCU
RNAcentral lists this ribosomal RNA (2901 nucleotides) under Escherichia coli. Its description in RNAcentral is "23S ribosomal RNA". It matches the Rfam family "Bacterial large subunit ribosomal RNA". Lineage: Bacteria; Pseudomonadati; Pseudomonadota; Gammaproteobacteria; Enterobacterales; Enterobacteriaceae. The record is from RNAcentral.